GAUGAACGCUAGCUACAGGCUUAACACAUGCAAGUCGAGGGGUUCCAAAGGAGCUUGCUUCUUUGGAACGACCGGCGCACGGGUGAGUAACGCGUAUCCAACCUGCCCUUCAUAUUGGUAUAGCCUCCCGAAAGGGAGAUUAAUCCCGAAUAACAUAUUUUGGUUUCCUGAUUAGAAUAUGAAAGCUCCGGCGAUGAAGGAUGGGGAUGCGUUCCAUUAGGUAGUAGGCGGGGUAACGGCCCACCUAGCCGACGAUGGAUAGGGGUUCUGAGAGGAAGGUCCCCCACACUGGAACUGAGACACGGUCCAGACUCCUACGGGAGGCAGCAGUGGGGAAUAUUGCACAAUGGGGGAAACCCUGAUGCAGCGACGCCGCGUGAGUGAAGAAGUAUUCGGUAUGUAAAGCUCUAUCAGCAGGGAAGAAAAUAGACGGUACCUGACUAAGAAGCUCCGGCUAAAUACGUG
Molecule: ribosomal RNA, 465 nt
Filed under: uncultured bacterium
Lineage: Bacteria
Description: bacterial SSU rRNA
Rfam family: Bacterial small subunit ribosomal RNA
Source: RNAcentral